GAUCCUGGCUCAGGAUGAACGCUAGCUACAGGCUUAACACAUGCAAGUCGAGGGGCAGCAUGUUGGUUGCCUGCAACCAAUGAUGGCGACCGGCGCACGGGUGAGUAACGCGUAUCCAACCUACCCUUGUCCAUCGGAUAACCCGUCGAAAGGCGGCCUAACACGAUAUGCGGUUCACAGCAGGCAUCUAACGUGAACGAAAUGUAAGGAGAAGGAUGGGGAGUGCGU
RNAcentral lists this ribosomal RNA (228 nucleotides) under uncultured bacterium. RNAcentral's name for it is "partial 16S ribosomal RNA". It matches the Rfam family "Bacterial small subunit ribosomal RNA", at positions 15 to 236 of the family's 1533-position model. The record is from RNAcentral.